GGAAUGUUCUCAUUUAGUUUUGUUUGUUCUGCUUAGGGCGCAGCAGUUAGAGGUGAUAUUGUCUGCGGCUGUCCAGGCAGGAUCUUUAGAACGCCUGACUGGAUGCAUUAAACAUUGGACAUCUGAAAACCAGCCAAAUUCUGUAGUGAAGUUACAGUUUAUUCGUGACUGUGCGUGGAAGAAAGUGGUCUACACCAAAGAUGAAUUUGACCAUAUAUGUGUUCCGCUGUUUGAUGGCUCCUGCCGCUUCCUAGAUCCAAAAACGCUACAGUCCCUUCAGCACUGCCAGUGUCUCUUAAACAACCUGGGCAGAGUCUAAACUGUUUACAAAGAGAACAACAAGAGCUUACUGACAAAGACUUGAGAAAUCAGCAGGUGCUAGCUAGCAACUUUUCUGUGCAUGCGCAAACGGUUAUCUGGUUCUGUCAGUCUGGUCUCCUUCCAGAGGGUUCAGGUGAG
Molecule: long non-coding RNA, 459 nt
Organism: Cuculus canorus (common cuckoo)
Lineage: Eukaryota; Metazoa; Chordata; Aves; Cuculiformes; Cuculidae
Exons: 4
Source: RefSeq, a predicted model, not a curated record